Long non-coding RNA from Papaver somniferum (opium poppy), 1489 nucleotides. RefSeq lists it as uncharacterized. The record is from RefSeq and is a predicted model, not a curated record. NCBI's taxonomy places the organism in Eukaryota, Viridiplantae, Streptophyta, Magnoliopsida, Ranunculales, Papaveraceae. The transcript has 2 exons.
UAGUGGUGGAGAAUAAACAUUUCACCAAUUGGAAUCAUGAUAACAUGAUAAUUCAAGUACAUUAUGCGGAAGAAAAAAAAACCUUAACCGAUGAGAGUCGCUUUCCCUUUACUAACUGGUUCUCUUUCAAGCUAUUUCAAAACCCUAUCUCAAAUAAUCAUGGUUCUCAGCUAGAUCUCCGUUCCACCGGCCCUUCAGAUGCAUUUAAGAUUUGUUUGCUAGAUUGUUGAGAUACCCAACCUUUAUUCAUGGGAUUUCUGCUCUAAUUAACGAUGAUUGCUGCGAUUUUGUGUUUUGGUCUUCAAUGGAGGUAGUUUCGGCGAUGUGCUUCACCAUGAAUACUUCUGGCCCCUGUUUUUUGCUGAAUCCUCCGAUGAUUUCUUCAAGAUGUUCAGACAAGGUUUGAUUGUCGUUGGAGUGUUGUUUUCUCAAACAUUUAAGCCACUGUGAGGCCACUAUGAGGAUUUGUAUAACUAGAUCUUUAGAUGAAAAUUCAGGGUUUUUUCAAUUUCAAACACAGCUGAGUAACAGUGAGGGUUCCAAUAGAAUGAUGAUACCGGGGCAACCUCCACCAAGCUAAGACUUUUGUCAUUUCGCAUGACUUUUUACAUUGGGUAAAAUCUUCCCCUAGGAUAUCAACGAAGAUUAGAAGGUUUAUCAACUUCAAAUCCAGGAUAGUUUGCUGACAUUUCGAGUAAUUCAGCGACGCUCCUUAUGAAGCAGCAAUUUUAUUUCCUUCAUAUCUUUGGUCUUAUUUGAGCCUUUUGGAUCCAUUUAACAAGCUCAAAAUCAUGACCUUGGGGAAUUCACAGCCGGUAGCAAGUAUUUUAGCUUCCUAUUUAUCACAAGAACCGAAGGAAUCAAAGAGCUAUAUAAGUUUUUCUCAAGUUCUCAGUAUCUCAACAUAAUGCAACAAGUUCUAAAUGUUUACUAUCUGGGCCGGUGGAGCAUCCACCUCCAUCCACUUAUUUUCUUAGAUAGCUUUAGCGUUCAGUAGUUUCUUGUAACAAGCUCUAGGUCUACUUGUAAUAAUAAUAUCAAGUGUAGUACAUUUUUAAGUUAUUAACUUUACAAACACUAUUGUAAUUACUUUAGGUACUUGGUUUUUUAGAAAGUUUUAUCACCCUAGAUUCUGGUUUAGCACAAGGAGUUUGCAUUUUUAUACUUCCUGUAUUGUGGCUAAAUCGUCUUCGAUUCAUCUUCUGCAUCAACUAAAAGCCAAGUACUUUUUUGAAGUCAUGGAUCAAGACGAAAAAAAAGGAACGACACAAUAUAUGUUCGGGUACAACUCAGCAGAUGGUAGCAAAUGCCUGACUAGCACCUUCAAUCAAGCGCAUGAACCUCACUACCAUCAACUACAAAAUACAGCUCAUUGAACGAAGGUCCCCAAUUCCAACAUCUUCCUGACCGUUGUUCACAUUUCGCUCCACUAUCUUUUCGCUGUUGAUUCACGCAAUACCAAUCUGAUUGUAAUUUUUGAAUCCUUGGA